Non-coding RNA from Leptonychotes weddellii (Weddell seal), 373 nucleotides. Lineage: Eukaryota; Metazoa; Chordata; Mammalia; Carnivora; Phocidae. The record is from RefSeq and is a predicted model, not a curated record.
AUGGCUCCCGCAAAGAAGGGUGGCGAUAAGAACGGCCGUUCUGCCAUCAACGAGGUAGUGACCAGAGAAUACACCAUCAAUAUUCACAAGCGCAUCCAUGGAGUGGGUUUCAAGAAGCGUGCCCCUCGGGCACUCAAAGAGAUCCGGAAAUUUGCCAUGAAGGAGAUGGGAACUCCAGAUGUGCGCAUUGACACCAGGCUCAACAAAGCUGUCUGGGCCAAAGGAAUAAGGAAUGUUCCAUACCGUAUCUGUGUGCGGUUGUCCAGAAAACGUAACGAGGAUCAAGAUUCACCAAAAAAAGAUUCACCACUGGUUACCUACGUAUCUGUCACCACUUUCAAAAAUCUAGACAGUUAAUGUGGAUGAGAACUAA